Molecule: ribosomal RNA, 271 nt
Filed under: uncultured Oscillibacter sp.
Lineage: Bacteria; Bacillati; Bacillota; Clostridia; Eubacteriales; Oscillospiraceae
Description: partial 16S ribosomal RNA
Rfam family: Bacterial small subunit ribosomal RNA
Source: RNAcentral
UUUUCGGACAAUGGAUGUAGAGGAAAGUGGCGGACGGGUGAGUAACGCGUGAGGAACCUGCCUUGAAGAGGGGGACAACAGUUGGAAACGACUGCUAAUACCGCAUGACGCAUGACCGGGGCAUCCCGGGCAUGUCAAAGAUUUUAUCGCUGGAAGAUGGCCUCGCGUCUGAUUAGCUAGAUGGUGGGGUAACGGCCCACCAUGGCGACGAUCAGUAGCCGGACUGAGAGGUUGACCGGCCACAUUGGGACUGAGAUACGGCCCAGACUCC